AGAGGAGAUAAAUCAGUUUGCCAUUGGUCCAAGAAUUGACACAAAUCAAUAAAAAAUAAAUAGCUAUAACACAGCACUAAUGUGAUAAAGAAAGAAAUACAAAAACCAAUGACAAGGGAAGAAUUAUUUAACAGAUGAUUUGAAGAAAACUGACAAGCUAUUUAUUUCUUUUAAAAAAAUCAGCUGUGAUUCUAUUCUUACCAAACAGUAUUUGCAUUUGAAAAGAGAAGGGCAUUAUACAUCAUCUAGUAAAGAAUGAGGCCAACCUUUCUAUUGCUCUUCCUCUUAAAAUCUUGUUUAACAGGAAAAAAAAAAACCAGACAAAUGCAAAUGCAUAUGAACAUGUUUUAUCUCAUGAUUGAUCAAAAUGUGUACCUAUGUGUAUAUGUUUGUGUAUUUAAAAUCAUAUUCUGCCUCAUAAGUAAAUAGAAAAACAGAAGUUAAAACUACAAUGAAAUGUGACUCUCAACCUACCAAAGUAGUAUCAUUUUUAAAAAGACUAAUUGUAAAAAGAAAUUUUUUCAAAUGACUGGCAGAAGAAAAAGCUUUUGCAAUCUCUUUGCAAAGUAAAUGACAAUAUGUAUCAAAUGUGUCUUUCUUUUUUUAUAUCAUAUUUACUUUAAUAUUUUCAAAUGUGUUUUUUGAAAGCAUGUUUUUUAACUUAAUGACUCUACAUCUAGGAAUCUGGCAUAAAGAAAAUACUCAAGAAUGCAGAUAAUGAUUUGUCUGCAAUAUGUUUACUUAAGCACUAGUUACACUGGAGAAAAACUGGUAACAACCUAAAUAAACACUAAUAGGAAAUGGUUGAAUAUUUUCUAAUAGAUCGAAAUAGUGGAAUUUAAUGUAGGGAUUUUUAAAAAAUGUGCUUUCAAAAGCACAUUUGUCCAUCUGGAAUAUAACUUCUGAUACAGUAGUACAAGAAAACCCACAAUA
This 933-nucleotide long non-coding RNA is filed under the name Marmota monax (woodchuck). The record is from RNAcentral. Lineage: Eukaryota; Metazoa; Chordata; Mammalia; Rodentia; Sciuridae.